This 497-nucleotide ribosomal RNA is filed under the name uncultured bacterium. Its description in RNAcentral is "partial 16S ribosomal RNA". It matches the Rfam family "Bacterial small subunit ribosomal RNA", at positions 28 to 507 of the family's 1533-position model. The record is from RNAcentral.
GAUGAACGCUGGCGGCGUGCCUAAUACAUGCAAGUCGAGCGAACAGAUGAGGAGCUUGCUCCUCUGACGUUAGCGGCGGACGGGUGAGUAACACGUGGAUAACCUACCUAUAAGACUGGGAUAACUUCGGGAAACCGGAGCUAAUACCGGAUAAUAUUUUGAACCGCAUGGUUCAAUAGUGAAAGACGGUUUUGCUGUCACUUAUAGAUGGAUCCGCGCUGCAUUAGCUAGUUGGUAAGGUAACGGCUUACCAAGGCGACGAUGCGUAGCCGACCUGAGAGGGUGAUCGGCCACACUGGAACUGAGACACGGUCCAGACUCCUACGGGAGGCAGCAGUAGGGAAUCUUCCGCAAUGGGCGAAAGCCUGACGGAGCAACGCCGCGUGAGUGAUGAAGGUCUUCGGAUCGUAAAACUCUGUUAUUAGGGAAGAACAAAUGUGUAAGUAACUAUGCACGUCUUGACGGUACCUAAUCAGAAAGCCACGGCUAACUACGUG